CAUCAAAGAAAUGCUUAUGACACAGGCAGACCGGUUCAGUCAAGAAGAGAUCAACCAGAUGUUUGCUGCUUUCCCUCCAGAUGUCUCUGGUAAUCUUGACUAUAAGAACCUCUGUUACGUUAUCACCCAUGGUGAGGAGAAAGACUAAGAGGAAAGAGAUGAGCUUCUCCUGUGAUGAUGCACCAAGUUAUUUCAUAAUGCUUUUGUGUGCAAGACAAAGGGCUAAACAUUCAGUAUGUGAAGCCAUGUGGUCAUCAGAAGAGAACCAAUAAAACAAUUGAAAUUAGAUUAAAGUUAUUUAAUGCUCCUGUUUUUAUAAAAGAUGAAAAUACCAAUUUUGUGAGUUUUUUCCCAUCCUUUCUUUUUUCUGUCAGUGGUUUGAAAUGGAAUUUUCUUGAUGAACUGGUGCUUUUGUGAUUUAUUGACAAUCCUAAUGUUCACCAGAUGGUCCAUUGGGCACUGCAGUGUUGCUUAACCUCUUGUAUUUUAUACAUAAAUAUUGUAUUAAUUGAGAAAUCCUCUAACUUAAUGCACCAGGAAUAGUAUUUGGUAAAUAGAAUUCUGUUCCAUUUCA
Molecule: non-coding RNA, 574 nt
Organism: Balearica regulorum gibbericeps (East African grey crowned-crane)
Lineage: Eukaryota; Metazoa; Chordata; Aves; Gruiformes; Gruidae
Source: RefSeq, a predicted model, not a curated record